GGUAGCUCGUCGGGCUCAUAACCCGAAGGUCGCAGGUUCAAAUCCUGCCCCCGCCACCA
RNAcentral lists this transfer RNA (59 nucleotides) under Acidimicrobiaceae bacterium. Its description in RNAcentral is "tRNA-Leu". It matches the Rfam family "tRNA", at positions 17 to 71 of the family's 71-position model. From Rfam's summary of the family: Transfer RNA (tRNA) molecules are approximately 80 nucleotides in length. Their secondary structure includes four short double-helical elements and three loops (D, anti-codon, and T loops). Lineage: Bacteria; Bacillati; Actinomycetota; Acidimicrobiia; Acidimicrobiales; Acidimicrobiaceae. The record is from RNAcentral.